This 612-nucleotide ribosomal RNA is filed under the name Cercomonas karpovi. RNAcentral's name for it is "eukaryotic LSU rRNA". The stretch from base 320 to 612 matches the Rfam family "Eukaryotic large subunit ribosomal RNA", at positions 1 to 286 of the family's 3401-position model. The record is from RNAcentral. Lineage: Eukaryota; Cercozoa; Cercomonadida; Cercomonadidae.
GCGCUUCUUGGAUAGGCCAGGAAGCCUGUUUCUUUGAGCAUCGUUUUCACCUCAGCUCGACUGCUCUCUUGUAAUGAGAUGAUGCGUGUCGGAUAAUGAGUUGUCUUCUUUGAAAUAAAGAAGUCACUUUAAAUGCGGUGAGCUCCAAACCUCCUAGUGUCAUUCAUUCUCUUCAUUGAGAGUGAAGCCUGUGUCGUAAGACUGUCGCUAGUGUCGUGGAUAAUCUUUAUCAACGAUUACUGUGCUUGUACAGGAUUAUGAUCGUGGUUUAAACAUUGGGUAACCUUCGGAACUCAGUGGAAAUUAUUCUUUUUGAAUUAGAUCUCAAAUGAAGCAAGAGUACCCGCUGAACUUAAGCAUAUUAUUAAGCGGAGGAAAAGAAACUAACAAGGAUGCCCUCAGUAACGGCGAGUGAAGCGGGCAAAGCUCAACCUGAAAAUCGGUUCUCCAAGCGGGGUUUCCGAAUUGUGGGCUAGAGACGCGUGAUCAGUGUGUGACGCAGGUAUAAAUCUUUUGAAACAAGGUAUCAUAGAGGGUGAGAAUCCCGUCUGUGACCUGCAGUUCGCCGCGUACGAUCCGUGUUCGCAGAGUCGAGUUGUUUGGGAUUGCAGC